UAGAUUGCUUACACGUUGUCUUCCACAAAAUAUGAGCUAUAUGACCUGUAAGACAUUUUCUCAAGAAACGCUGAAGGAUUGGUUUCCCCUGGACGAGGUCAAUUCUGACGAUCGGAAAAUGUUCAGAUGACUUCGUGGGGCACACUAUCAACUCGAGUUGUUGGAACGUCUUCCUUUCUAACCAAUACAUGCUAAGGUGCUUUGCUGCUAAAAGCAUUGGAACAGCAGAAAGUUAGAAAGCUGGAUAAGACAUUGCAGAAGGUUCACAGUGGCGAACGAUUCCAUUUCCUGUGAUGGUGGCCAAACGGAAGCUGGUCACCAGACGAAUCGUACCCUUCUCCUACCGUCUGGCGGCUUUUCUACUGCUCCUCAUGUUGUUUUAUGUGCUUUUUUUUUGAAGCGCACCCAGGAAAACAGACGUAUCAAGCAGCCACCCAGUCGUCUGGCAGCCAGUCAGGAAACAGAUGGCCAACGCAUCGAAAGUACCAGUGGCGUCGGGCAGCUCUAUAAGGUAUUCAAUAGAGACCAAACUUAGAUCGGGCAAGUCUAGCCUUCUGACAUUAUGAACUAUUCCAGAACGACACACGCUAUUUUUCUUCACCACUUUUUUUCGUGUCAGUCGGUUUCUCGUCUUGUUGCUAAAUCGCCUCACUACCACUGCUGUCCCCCUAUCUUACAGGCCCACACUAUUCUGGUCCUCGGCCAUCCCCGGAUAUCCUGCGUAGUUACGUGCUGUCCAGCUACAUUAUGGCUUUCCUACGCCUCUUACGAUUUCUUUGUGUUAUGUAUGAUGAAUGAGGAUCGUCGAACUACGGAAGUGCAGGGAUCGCAAACGACGAGACGGAUCACGCGUCCAUUGCAAGUGUUAUGUUUUACAGUCAAAAGAAUGACGACCGCGAUUAAUGGACAAUCGUUUUUGUCUCAAACUGCACCCGGAAAUUAUCACAAUAGUACGACCCGUGUCCGGGGUCGUUGGUGCUCUACGCCUGUGAAAGUGCCACGGUUCUACUCUAUUGCAAACGUUUUAUAAAAAUAUCACCGAACCAGCAAAACCGA
Long non-coding RNA from Varroa destructor (honeybee mite), 1056 nucleotides. Lineage: Eukaryota; Metazoa; Arthropoda; Arachnida; Mesostigmata; Varroidae. The record is from RefSeq and is a predicted model, not a curated record.